GCGCCUGUAGCGCAACGGAUAGCGCACUGGCCUCCGGAGCCAGUUGUGACAGUUCGAUUCUGUCCAGGCGCACGA
This 75-nucleotide transfer RNA is filed under the name Omnitrophica WOR_2 bacterium RBG_13_44_8b. RNAcentral describes it as "tRNA-Arg". It matches the Rfam family "tRNA". Rfam says of the family: Transfer RNA (tRNA) molecules are approximately 80 nucleotides in length. Their secondary structure includes four short double-helical elements and three loops (D, anti-codon, and T loops). Further hydrogen bonds mediate the characteristic L-shaped molecular structure. tRNAs have two regions of fundamental functional importance: the anti-codon, which is responsible for specific mRNA codon recognition, and the 3' end, to which the tRNAs corresponding amino acid is attached (by aminoacyl-tRNA synthetases). tRNAs cope with the degeneracy of the genetic code in two manners: having more than one tRNA (with a specific anti-codon) for a particular amino acid; and 'wobble' base-pairing, i.e. permitting non-standard base-pairing at the 3rd anti-codon position. The record is from RNAcentral. Lineage: Bacteria; Pseudomonadati; Candidatus Omnitrophota.